RNAcentral lists this ribosomal RNA (621 nucleotides) under Bacillus pumilus. RNAcentral describes it as "bacterial SSU rRNA". It matches the Rfam family "Bacterial small subunit ribosomal RNA", at positions 38 to 641 of the family's 1533-position model. The record is from RNAcentral. Lineage: Bacteria; Bacillati; Bacillota; Bacilli; Caryophanales; Bacillaceae.
GGCGGCGUGCCUAAUACAUGCAAGUCGAGCGGACAGAAGGGAGCUUGCUCCCGGAUGUUAGCGGCGGACGGGUGAGUAACACGUGGGUAACCUGCCUGUAAGACUGGGAUAACUCCGGGAAACCGGAGCUAAUACCGGAUAGUUCCUUGAACCGCAUGGUUCAAGGAUGAAAGACGGUUUCGGCUGUCACUUACAGAUGGACCCGCGGCGCAUUAGCUAGUUGGUGGGGUAAUGGCUCACCAAGGCGACGAUGCGUAGCCGACCUGAGAGGGUGAUCGGCCACACUGGGACUGAGACACGGCCCAGACUCCUACGGGAGGCAGCAGUAGGGAAUCUUCCGCAAUGGACGAAAGUCUGACGGAGCAACGCCGCGUGAGUGAUGAAGGUUUUCGGAUCGUAAAGCUCUGUUGUUAGGGAAGAACAAGUGCGAGAGUAACUGCUCGCACCUUGACGGUACCUAACCAGAAAGCCACGGCUAACUACGUGCCAGCAGCCGCGGUAAUACGUAGGUGGCAAGCGUUGUCCGGAAUUAUUGGGCGUUAAGGGCUCGCCAGCGGGUUCUUAAGUCUGAUGUUAAAGCCCCCCGGUCCACCCGGGGAGGGUUCUUGGAAACUGGGGAAA